GGAGUUAGCCGGUGCUUCUUCUGUGAGUGAUGUCCUUCCUGCCGGCUAUUAACCCGCAGGCCUUCUUCCUCACUGAAAGUGCUUUACAACCCGAAGGCCUUCUUCACACACGCGGCAUGGCUGGAUCAGGGUUGCCCCCAUUGUCCAAUAUUCCCCACUGCUGCCUCCCGUAGGAGUCUGGGCCGUGUCUCAGUCCCAGUGUGGCUGAUCAUCCUCUCAGACCAGCUACGGAUCGUCGCCUUGGUGAGCCGUUACCUCACCAACCAGCUAAUCCGACAUAGGCUCAUUCGAUAGCGCGAGGCCCGAAGGUCCCCCGCUUUCCCCCGUAGGGCGUAUGCGGUAUUAGCCUGGGUUUCCCCAGGUUAUCCCCCACUACCGGGCAGAUUCCUAUGCAUUACUCACCCGUCCGCCGCUCGCCACCAGGGAGCAAGCUCCCCGUGCUGCCGCUCGACUUGCAUGUGUUAGGCCUGCCGCCAGCGUUCAAUCUGAGCCAGAAUCAAACUCUGA
Molecule: ribosomal RNA, 507 nt
Filed under: uncultured bacterium
Lineage: Bacteria
Description: partial 16S ribosomal RNA
Source: RNAcentral